This 465-nucleotide ribosomal RNA is filed under the name Vreelandella stevensii. RNAcentral describes it as "partial 16S ribosomal RNA". It matches the Rfam family "Bacterial small subunit ribosomal RNA", at positions 338 to 795 of the family's 1533-position model. The record is from RNAcentral. Lineage: Bacteria; Pseudomonadati; Pseudomonadota; Gammaproteobacteria; Oceanospirillales; Halomonadaceae.
CCUACGGGGGGCAGCAGUGGGGAAUAUUGGACAAUGGGGGGAACCCUGAUCCAGCCAUGCCGCGUGUGUGAAGAAGGCCCUCGGGUUGUAAAGCACUUUCAGUGAGGAAGAACGCCUGGUGGUUAAUACCCAUCAGGAAAGACAUCACUCACAGAAGAAGCACCGGCUAACUCCGUGCCAGCAGCCGCGGUAAUACGGAGGGUGCGAACGUUAAUCGGAAUUACUGGGCGUAAAGCGCGCGUAGGUGGCUUGAUAAGCCGGUUGUGAAAGCCCCGGGCUCAACCUGGGAACGGCAUCCGGAACUGUCAAGCUAGAGUGCAGGAGAGGAAGGUAGAAUUCCCGGUGUAGCGGUGAAAUGCGUAGAGAUCGGGAGGAAUACCAGUGGCGAAGGCGGCCUUCUGGACUGACACUGACACUGAGGUGCGAAAGCGUGGGUAGCAAACAGGAUUAGAUACCCGAGUAGUC